UACGGAGGGGGCUAGCGUUGUUCGGAAUUACUGGGCGUAAAGCGCACGUAGGCGGCUUUGUAAGUUAGAGGUGAAAGCCCGGGGCUCAACUCCGGAAUUGCCUUUAAGGCUGCAUCGCUCGAAUUGUGGAGAGGUAAGUGGAAUUCCGAGUGUAGAGGUGAAAUUCGUAGAUAUUCGGAAGGACACCAGUGGCGAAGGCGACUUACUGGACACAUAUUGACGCUGAGGUGCGAAAGCGUGGGGAGCAAACAGG
This 253-nucleotide ribosomal RNA is filed under the name uncultured bacterium. Its description in RNAcentral is "partial 16S ribosomal RNA". It matches the Rfam family "Bacterial small subunit ribosomal RNA", at positions 524 to 776 of the family's 1533-position model. The record is from RNAcentral.